This 498-nucleotide long non-coding RNA is filed under the name Parus major (Great Tit). RNAcentral's name for it is "lncRNA (ENSPMJG00000011531.1)". Lineage: Eukaryota; Metazoa; Chordata; Aves; Passeriformes; Paridae. The record is from RNAcentral.
CGCGGUCCUCGGGGAGCCCCGCAGCCCCACGGCGCCUCCUUCUCCACCCCCAGCACCCCACUGGAGCGGUCGCCGCCGGGCAGCGCUCUUUUUGACGAGGAGAGCCUCCGCGGGAAGCGGAGCCCCGGCUGCGAGCUGCCCUUCCUGGCGCGCACCCCCUCGGCCCUGGCGCUGAGCGGCACCGCCAGCCCCGCCAACAGCAUCUUCUCCUCGCCCCGCCGCUGGCUGCAGCAGAGGAAGGGGCAGCCCUCGUCGCCCGAGCCUCGCCCCGCCGCCUACGUCGUGUGGAAAUCCGAGGGGUCAGAUUUUCCCAGUGUUCUGGAGACUGUGUAGAUUCACAGUGUGACAUGGUGUAAAGAUCUCUGGUGAGUGAGAAGUCAGAAGCUGAUGCAGUGAAUGGCUGUACCACAAGGUCUGUUGAGGUCCAAAGUAGUGCACCCAAAAUCCUUCCGAGACUAAGCUAAGAAAUAUAAUAAAACCUACUAAUCUGGUAAAUCA